UGUACAUAUUGUUGAUGUUCUGGUCUGCCCUCCGUGCCACCCGCUCUAGCCACGCGAAUUGUCUCUCCUCCUGAUGAGCCAGUCUCUCAUCCAACAGUUUUUGUAGCUUGGCCAUAUGAAGAUGGUUUUUGUCUUAUUUUGCCUGACCAUCAACUGAUCUCUGAAGAAUUAAGGCAAGCUCCAUCAGUUGACUGGCUGUUGUUGGAGUGACUGGUACUGUUUUUGUUGCUGAUCUUGAUGCACCUACCUCCUGGUCAUGAGUGACU
This 266-nucleotide long non-coding RNA is filed under the name Setaria viridis. Its description in RNAcentral is "long non-coding RNA (SVIR_LNC010856)". The record is from RNAcentral. Lineage: Eukaryota; Viridiplantae; Streptophyta; Magnoliopsida; Poales; Poaceae.